Molecule: non-coding RNA, 831 nt
Organism: Labrus bergylta (ballan wrasse)
Lineage: Eukaryota; Metazoa; Chordata; Actinopteri; Labriformes; Labridae
Source: RefSeq, a predicted model, not a curated record
CAGGUGAAAUAUAAAAAUGCUCACUUUUGACCAGGCAUUGUCUUGGGACAUUCACACACACUCCUCAACUCGUCAAACGUCUGCUCAGUUGUGAUGAAGAUGGGACAACUCAAUGUUUUGGCUGUUAUGGCAGUACUCUUCUCUCUUUUCAUGGAAACUGAAGCAAAUCCGUUUAUUUACAACUAUGAAAGGCUACGAAUCGGAGGCCUGAUCUGUUCCUGCCUGUUGUUUGGUGCAGGACUCCUAGCUAUCCUUUACACGAGGUGCAACAGGAAGCAAAAGAAAGCAGAAGAUGACAACAGUGAAAUCUGAUAUGGUGCCUGUCAAACUGGUUUCGGGCCCAGAAGAAGAGCUGACAUGCAAGGGGUGGAGAGAGAGUUGGUGGUUUGGUGGGGGGUUUGGAGGAGACACACCCUUUCAGGUGAUUUAACCUGAGCGGACCUGUGCAAAGAGUAACAGUUUUUUUUGUGUGUGUGAAAAGAAAAGCAGAUAAAGAAAAUCAAGCCCUCUUAAGUCUUCAAAAUGUAUUCCUGUUGGUCAGAUCUGUACUGAUAUGCAAAUGAUGUUCAUUUUUAUUCAUGUAGAUGCUUAUCCCUGUAAACACACAAGUACUGGUACACUAUUUUACAUAUCCAUAUAUUCUGCUUUGUGUAGGCAUCACCAUAAUAUUGCAUAAAGCCAAUGAAAGAUGAGAUCAUUAGGAGCAUGUGGUGUUAAUUGCAUAAUGAACUGUAGUAAGAUUAUCCAUGUGGUCAACCAUUUCAAUAUUUACAUUUCUACACCAACAAUUUGUUAGAAACCUUAGGUGUGCACGUGUACAAUUAAAAUAAA